UACGGGGGGGGCAAGCGUUGUUCGGAAUUACUGGGCGUAAAGGGCUCGUAGGCGGCCAACUAAGUCAGACGUGAAAUCCCCGGGCUCAACCCGGGAACUGCGUCCGAUACUGGCAGGCUUGAAUCCGGGAGAGGGAUGUGGAAUUCCAGGUGUAGCGGUGAAAUGCGUAGAUAUCUGGAGGAACACCGGUGGCGAAGGCGGCAUCCUGGACCGGUAUUGACGCUGAUGCGCGAAAGCCAGGGGAGCAAACGGG
Molecule: ribosomal RNA, 253 nt
Filed under: uncultured bacterium
Lineage: Bacteria
Description: partial 16S ribosomal RNA
Rfam family: Bacterial small subunit ribosomal RNA
Source: RNAcentral